Molecule: non-coding RNA, 2906 nt
Organism: Delphinapterus leucas (beluga whale)
Lineage: Eukaryota; Metazoa; Chordata; Mammalia; Artiodactyla; Monodontidae
Source: RefSeq, a predicted model, not a curated record
CCAAGUUGGUUCAGGCAGGAAUCUGUAAGAACUGUGUCCUAGGUACCAUUUUGUGGAGAUCUGGUUCCAGCUUUUCAAAGGGGCUCACAGAACUAACCUGGAAUCUGUGCUGACCAAAAUUCCUGGUGCCCAGAAGAUGUCCAGCAACUGACGAUUCAGACUGAGCCCAUUCAGUGGAGCAUGGAGAAGGCACAAAGAGAGAACUUCUCUCAAUCCCCUGCAGAGUGCAAAUAACAACCUGAGAUCUCAGAGAGAAGGCUUCGGUCUGACAGAAUACAGCCAAACUCCAGGAUGUUACUGCUUGUUGCUGCUAAUGAUGAUGAUAGGACUUGAUCCCAGAUGGAGUCACAGAGAGGCUGAAUAACUUAACCAUGGUCAUCAGCUAGAAAGUGGAAGAGGUGAGAUUCAGACUUGCUCUGGAUGCCUCACUCCUAACCAUGAACACUGCCUCUCACGGGACUUGGGUACAUGGCUAGUUUGCAUUAUCUCACAGAAGUGGGAAGGGGAACGGUUCCACAAGGAAGCCUCUCAUCCAAGUUUUAACUUCAGGGAAGGUGAGACUUGCUUUGUCAGUUGGUGAAGGAACAAUUCCAUAAAGGGUUACAAACUCUGACAUCCUUCUCUACCUGUCUCCUGUACUUGCUUUCACACUACUACUUUUAUGUCCUUUCUUUAUUACCUUAAAAAUAAAUCUAACAUUGUUUGGAUAUGUGCAUGGGAAAUUACUACUUUCCCUCUACCAGGCAAUUAUAGGGCUGCUGCCCUAUCUUGAUGCAGUACAGGAAGGCAUGAUAGAGAAUAGAAAGCAGGUGAAAGGUAUGAGAUAACUGACUAGAAAGGCAGUGGAGCCUGGUUAAGAGCACAGCCUCUAAAAUUAAACUGGCCUAGAUUCAAAUUCCUGCUCAACCACGAAUAUAUGUGAGCGAAACCAUUUUAUAACCUUUAAGGGAAGAGCAACUCUGCUGCCUCUAGGUCUGAGAAGAUGAAGCUUUUAAGGGCAGCAGAGAGGUUGAUGAUACUAAUCCCCCACCUCUGACCCUAAUAUACAACUACUAUCUCUCCCUCUAUCUCCCUCACAGAAGCGAGGAAAUCACAAAAGGAUAUUAUUAAAAAAGGUAGAGAUGUGGACUCUGCUAACACGCUCCUGUAUUAACUCUGCUCAUGAACACUGCUGGACUCUAGAGCCACAACCCCAAAUCACAUGAUAUGUCUGUGAUUCAUGUCUGCACAGAGCUGGGUCCAGAAUAAGGGCUCAAUAAAUUGUAGCGCAUUCCACCCCUCCUCUCUUCUUCAUCUCUUUCUCUUCCACUCCCUCCUUCCUCCCAAGUAUGCCAGCCCAUUUAGUGCUAUCUAUAAGUAGAUGAGAUCUUAUGCUAAAAGAAAAGCAUCUCUUCCCUUCAUUGGAGAUAUUGAGAGGACAAAUUAUAAAGACAAAGAGACUAAAGCACUGGAGAGUUAUUUGGAUUUGAUGAUUUUUAACAUCCCUUCCAAACUUGAAUGUUUUUCCUAAUUGGGACACAUUCCAUUCCCUCAGGACACACACAUAAAGCAAGCUUGUGGGAAAGAGAAGAGACUUAUCACAAAGCAAAGUAAAAACACAAAUACUCAGUAAAUAAUCAGAGGUUUUAUAUCUUCCAUUAACAAAAAUCAAGGAAAGACAUGAAAUGACUCAGGUGCUCUCUGAAAAGGAGCCAUUCUCUUAGCUGAAUUCAGUGGUCAAUAAAUUAACCAAUCAAGUCAGCCAACAUUUGGCUUAUUGAUAAGGGCUGUUGUCUCUUGCCAGCUGCUGGUUAAUUCAGCUGAACAGUUGGUCUACCAGACAGACAAAUAAUUUGAUUUUUCUCACUAAACUGAUAACUGAUUUAGUAUGCCAGGGAAUUGUAUCUCUGACCUCAUCUCGUAAAGGACAGAUUUAAAACAGGGAAAACUGAAGUAUACACCAGCAGAAUAGAUAAGCUCUACCUGUCAGUGCCUCAGAGGGGUCCACAUCAAAUCUGGGGAGUCAGGCCACAGAGACAAUGCAUGUAAAUCUCCCCUUGAUUCAUAGAACUGGGCUAGACAGCUGGAAUCCUGCUUUUAUCCAAAAAUACACCUCCCUGUGCAAUUGACAAAAACAAAGUUGGAGAUGUCUUUCCACAUGAACCUUAGGAGGCCAGUUGGCUUUUGGCCCCAUCUUUCAACCUCCUUCCUCUGUGUAAACUUACGUCCCUCUGUGGGCAAAGCCAUAACCUCCUCUGAUAUUGGUGCUCAUGGGCAUUUCCCAAGUGACAUUUGUGGGGAAUUGUUGUUAUUUUGGAAAUAAUAUGAAACCAAGUUACCUUAGAGGAAAUAUAUUUUUCCCCUUGCUUUGUGUUAAGCUUCUACUUUAAUAAUGACUCUGUAUUUAUAUGACCUUUGUAAAGAGCUUUAAUUUGUAAAGAGCUAUUGAAAAUGUAUCAUUAUGUUAUGUUUUGGUAGAAUGGAUUAAAGUAACAUUUUGAAGGAAAUAUUCAAUUUUUUUCUAUCCUCAGGAAGAAAAAUUACUGUGUACAUCUUUAUUGUGUAGAUUUGGUGGAAACUGAAGCAAGUAUCUGUGAUAGUAAACAUUUAUCACCAAAGCCAUUAAUUAGGAUUCUAAAGAACUUGUGUCGUCUUGGAUUCUUGUUAUUGAUUAAAAAUAGUAAGCAAGGCUAGUCCUGUUCUGGGAAGUGUACAUUUGUGAGUGGAAACCUUAUGGAAUUAAAGUUAUCAUUUACUGAUAGACAUUAACAAACUGGAGAGCUAUUAGCUCAAACUAACAUAUUAAUACCACUAUCCAAUAAGUGUAACAAAUGAAACAGUAAUAAAAUAAUCAAUGAAUUGAAACUACCUCAUUUGUUCUUUAGAACUGAAAUAUUUUCCUCUAAUGAACUAUCUGAAAACUAUCU